AUGGUGGUGCAUGAUUUCUAUGAUUUGAGUGAAUGGAUUACAUGUCCUCCUUGAAGGAUAACUAUGUGAAUGUGAUAAGAGAAGAAUGGAUAGAAGAGAUAAAGAAGAAAUUGACAGCUUCACUGAUGCAGUCUACCAAAAUUUUCUCAGGUUUUGUUUGUUGUCUGAACUCUCAACAUUUCUGCUAUUUCUCUUCCAACCAAACAUAUUAUACACAGUUUCUGCAAGAAAGGCAUCUUCUUUUGCCUCAUGUAUGGUCCUGUCAUCUUGCAACUGAAGAACAAGUGAUUUUUAUUGUUAUUUUAUAAAAGUUUUACCAGUAAUAUAUGAACUAGAUGAUUAAUAAUAUCAGAAAAAAAAUUUUCAAUCACAUUCCUGAGUGAGUUGUGAUCAUGUAUUAGAUUAGAGCUAAAAAGGAUGCCUUCACAUCAGACCAACCAAUUUGCCUGAUCAAAUAACAUGAGCUUACUGAUCUAUUUGAAGUUUUAGCAGACAUUGUUUGUGGUGUGUGGUCAUAUGAUUUAGUAAAUUGCUAGAUUUGACAAUGUUUAAUUAUCUGUAUUCUGCUUCACCUCAUAUUUAGAUGGCAUAAUCUACCAAUUUUCCUGAUCAAAUAACAUGAGCUUACUGAUCUAUUUGAAGUUUUAGCAGACAUUGUUUGUUGUGUGUGGUCAUAUGAUAUAGUAAAUUGCUAGAUUUGACAAUGUUUAAUUAUCUGUAUUCUGCUUCACCUCAUAUUUAGAUGGCAUAAUCUACCAAUUUUCCUGAUCAAAUAACAUGAGCUUACUGAUCUAUUUGAAGUUUUAGCAGACAUUAUUUGUGGUGUGUGGUCAUAUGAUCUAGUAAAUUGCUAGAUUUGACAAUGUUUAAUUAUCUGUAUUCUACUUCACCUCAUAUUUAGAUGGCAUAAUCUACUUAAACACAUGUAAGUUGAACUAAAUAUAGCAGCUAUGCCUUCUCCCAAUACAGAUUCAAAGAAACAAAGCCAGAGAAGAUGACAAACUAGCAUUGGAAAGAUUUCUAGAUGAAGACUCAAGUGAAGGAUGGAAGAAGAU
RNAcentral lists this long non-coding RNA (1055 nucleotides) under Musa acuminata (dwarf banana). Its description in RNAcentral is "long non-coding RNA (MACU_LNC005445)". The record is from RNAcentral. Lineage: Eukaryota; Viridiplantae; Streptophyta; Magnoliopsida; Zingiberales; Musaceae.